CGAGCGGCGGACGGCUGAGUAACGCGUAGGAACGUACCCCAAAGUGAGGGAUAAGCACCAGAAAUGGUGUCUAAUACCGCAUGUGGUCUUCGGAUUAAAGCUUCGGCGCUUUGGGAACGGCCUGCGAAAGAUUAGCUUGUUGGUGAGGUAAAAGCUCACCAAGGCGACGAUCUUUAGCUGGUCUGAGAGGAUGAUCAGCCAGACUGGGACUGAGAACGGCCCAGACUCCUACGGGAGGCAGCAGUAGGGAAUUUUCCACAAUGGGCGAAAGCCUGAUGGAGCAACGCCGCGUGCAGGAUGAAUGCCUUUGGGUUGUAAACUGCUUUUAUAUGUGACGAUUAUGACGGUAGCAUAUGAAUAAGGAUCGGCUAAUUCCGUGCCAG
RNAcentral lists this ribosomal RNA (383 nucleotides) under uncultured bacterium. Its description in RNAcentral is "bacterial SSU rRNA". It matches the Rfam family "Bacterial small subunit ribosomal RNA", at positions 92 to 511 of the family's 1533-position model. The record is from RNAcentral.